GGUAGACACUGAUUGAUCUGUAAAGAGCUCGCCUCUGAUUCACCUCCAGAUAACAUGAUUCUUCCCAGAAGUGAGAGAAAACCGAAGAAGGAUGGACUGGCCACAGUCCUCAUCGCUUGCAUCCACCCUGACACUCAUCUGAAGGCUGUGGUUUGGCCUCAGGACCUCUGGCAGCAGCGCCCAGACCCACUGAGACGGUGUGUGGGGUUUGAAUUCAGUCUUCACGAUCGGCUUCUCCUGGGGAUUAGAAAAUCCAUAGCCAAAAGCCGUCUCCUGCCCCACCCACCUCCACCAUCUGCAGGAAGGAGACAGUGGAAGAGAGAGCCCCUCUUUUCCCUUGGGAUACUGUCAUGUUUGUGUCUGGCUGUGAUGCCCAGAGCGGCUGCACCUCGCCUCCACUUUGAAGAUGCAGCCAAUGGGCAGAGCCCAUGGGAUCCAGGAGAAGUGAAGUCAGAGCUUUGACAUCCUGUCUGGAGCAUGCCCUGCCAGGAUUUCUGGGCUGUGAGAUGACAAAUGUCCUUAAGUCUUAGACUAAUUUGAGUUGAGACCUUCUAUUGCUUAUAACAACAUCAUCCUAAGGAUGUUUUUGGGAGUCUGGGUCUUAUUCUGGGGCAAUGGAGAAUAGAUAAUGACUACUAGUGGGUGGGUGGAUGGAUGGAUGGAUAGAUAGAAGAAUGGAUCGGUGGAUGGAUCUAUGGAUGGAUAAAUGGAUCAAUGGAUGGAUGGAUCAAUGGAUGAGUGGGUGGAUGGAUGGAUGGAUGGAUGAAUGGUUGGAUGGUUGGAUGGAUGGAUGGAUGGAUGGAUGGGUGGAUGGAUGGAUGACGGAUGAUGGUCACCGCCUGGUCAAAAACCAUGAGGCUGCUAUAAAGGAAAUGGAUUGUCAGGAGGAGGUUUUGGGAGCCAGAAGCAGGAAGGAUUGGAAUCUGGUAGGAGUUGAGGGCCCACCGGUCCAUGCCAGCCCCACCUUUGCAAAGAACCUUCACCAGAGAUGGGAAGCCCCCCAUGGAGCAGUCAGCCCAUCCAGCUGCUGGGAUGGUGCCAUGACCUAGAAGAACAUCAGGCAUCCAGUGCAACACAGCUCCCACUGUUGCUUUCAUGCCGACAUGAGUAAAACUCUGCAGAGGCACAACAUGCAUUGUCUCUCCACCCACAGAGACAAGCGGAGUGUCUGUGUGUCUGACUGUGUCAACACACAGUCGUUAAAAAGCAUGUUUCACUGAAAACACAACCACAUAAUCACAGCCAUUACCUCCUAUUCCCUUUAAUAAACG
RNAcentral lists this long non-coding RNA (1271 nucleotides) under Macaca mulatta (Rhesus monkey). RNAcentral describes it as "lncRNA (ENSMMUG00000063129.1)". Lineage: Eukaryota; Metazoa; Chordata; Mammalia; Primates; Cercopithecidae. The record is from RNAcentral.